This is a long non-coding RNA of Arabidopsis lyrata subsp. lyrata, 1084 nucleotides long. RefSeq lists it as uncharacterized. The transcript is spliced from 4 exons. The record is from RefSeq and is a predicted model, not a curated record. NCBI's taxonomy places the organism in Eukaryota, Viridiplantae, Streptophyta, Magnoliopsida, Brassicales, Brassicaceae.
UGGAAUUGAAAUGAGGUUCUCUUGAUUAAAGUGAUUAAAAAUAAUUCAAAACAAGUAAUUAUGCAGAGAGUCGGCUCUGAAGAGAGAGAUUUGAGAAUCGACUCUCUCCCUCUUUUUCUUUCUCUUUCUCGUAUCUCUGGUGAUUCUGCGACCCUUGAGAAAGGAAGACGGAGGAUUAGUAGCAGAAGAAGAAGAGUUUAGCCAUAUCUACAUAGAAGGAAGAUGGCCUUUUCUCAUCAAAUAAAUCUCUCGCCUUUUCUCAUCCAAAUUCUGAUGCCACAAAGCUAGCCACAAUCACAAACCCAAUUUCUACUUGUCGGGUUCAUGUUCCCAAACUUGUUGGAAUCCGAUCCACCUUCGCUUCUGGUUCUCCUCUUUGUACGUCUUCCUUGGUCCUGACCAAUUCUCCAAUUCUCUAAAUUUAAGCUUUAGUUUGAAAAUUAGGGUUUCUGGGUAUCCUAAGCAGCUCAAUUUUUGAUAGUUUUGAUUCGUUUUAUAGACUGAAUUGUUCACAUAUGAAACAGAGCAUAAACAAUUGGUUAGAGGUAAGCUUGAGAUUAGCUUGGCUGAACAUCAAUAGUGGCAAGAAAAGAGGAAUCAAAUUGAAAGAGAAAUUGAAUGUUGUUGCGGCAGCUAAUGCGUAUUAGAGGAAGAACUUAGCAUUGUGAGAGAGUGAUCUUAUUGAUUUAGUGGUGUUGCAUGAACUUAGCAUGAUGGAUUAGGUUGAAAAAAGAAGAAGCAAGUUUUAGUGUUGUUUACAUGAUAAAUGUAGUAACCGGUGCUUGAGAUCUUUAUUUUGGCUUGGUGAUACUAACAGAAGAUGAUGAGGAAGAACACGAAGAUGUGGUAACAUUAAGCAGAACACAGAGAUGAUGUUUGAAUGGCUAGGGAAAUGGAAUGGACUAGUUUGGAAUUCAGAUGAAGUGGGUUUUGUAAAGGUCAUAGGAGACAACAAGAGGUUGGAUACCAUAUCUGUAGGUUUCAGUUACAAUAACAUUGGAAGCGAAUAGUUAGGUAAUAGGUAAGAAUUAUCCUCAUCUGCCUCAGUUGCACUCUUUUUGAAUACACCUUCCUUUUCUCUAUA